RNAcentral lists this ribosomal RNA (279 nucleotides) under uncultured prokaryote. RNAcentral's name for it is "partial 16S ribosomal RNA". It matches the Rfam family "Bacterial small subunit ribosomal RNA", at positions 524 to 801 of the family's 1533-position model. The record is from RNAcentral.
UACGGAGGUUCCAAGCGUUGUUCGGAAUUACUGGGGCGUAAAGGGAGCGCAGGCGGACAAGUCAGUCUAAAGUGAAAUUCCGGGGCUCAACCUCGGACUUGCUUCGGAUACUACUUGUCUUGAGUUCGUGAUAGGAAGACGGAAUUCAGGGUGUAGCGGUGAAAUGCACAGAUAUCCUGAGGAACACCGGUGGCGAAAGCGGUCUUCUGGCGCGAAACUGACGCUGAGGCUCGAAAGCGUGGGUAGCAAACGGGAUUAGAUACCCGUGUAGUCCCUGAG